Maylandia zebra (zebra mbuna) is the source of this 680-nucleotide non-coding RNA. The record is from RefSeq and is a predicted model, not a curated record. NCBI's taxonomy places the organism in Eukaryota, Metazoa, Chordata, Actinopteri, Cichliformes, Cichlidae.
GUGGAGUUGGCACAUUGUUUAAAGGUUUGAUUUCUAAGAGAUAUUUUAACUUAGAAGACUUAAACAGAGCAAUUCUGCACUUUCCAUACCAACAUUCUGACAAAGUUAAUCGCCCUCAUCCAAUAACCUCAAAUUUUGCCAGGCGAGGGACCAUGGCCAGCACUCUUUCAUGAGACACAGCUCUACUUUGAAUUUCAUCGGAUCACCAAUCAGAAUCUGCCACAUGUGUUUUAUGCUGCGCUGGAUGAUUAUGCUCCUCAGCUGACUGGACUUUACAAAAAGAGGAAAACUGGACGGGUCGGUGAAAGGAUGGAGCAGCUUUUGUCGGCAUAUGGAAAACAGGGUGAAAUUGAGUUCUAUGAAGCCAUAGAAUUGCUCUGGUUGCUGAUGUCGAUGAAGAGGAGGUGCCUGGAGGAGUUCCUUUCUCACCACGCCAAGUGUUCAUAGAACUUGAAGAUCAGUUUGUUAUGACUCAUCACUCAUGGACUGAUGCCCUGGUGUCUUUGUUUGGGCUAAUCUAUGCUCUGCAUCUGAGCUAUCCUAUGAAGUAUACUGGCUUUUUUGAGUUCAUUCAAGUAGUGUUGCUGAAGCUAGACGAUGAGAGAAAGCAACUAAAACCAAAAUUGCAGACACUAAAAAAUGAGCUUGUGCAGAUGAUGUUUGUUUUUCACUGGUCACUA